This is a long non-coding RNA of Hyaena hyaena (striped hyena), 591 nucleotides long. RefSeq lists it as uncharacterized. NCBI's taxonomy places the organism in Eukaryota, Metazoa, Chordata, Mammalia, Carnivora, Hyaenidae. The transcript has 4 exons. The record is from RefSeq and is a predicted model, not a curated record.
UGAAAUCUUUCCAACAGGACUGCAACUCUGCCCAACUGGAUCAAAGUGUCAUUAGGAAAUAAAUGGCUGUGGCAUAUGAACUUGAGGAAGAAAUAUGGAGAGGAGUAAAAACAGCAGAGGACAUGAGAUGAAGUAAGAUGAAGUAAAGAAGAAAUAAACUUGUUCUGAAACGGAAUGUUCCAAAGUAAUCCAGUAGAGAAAAGACAGGGAAGUCAGUGUAUAUUGGAAAGAGAGCAGUCUCCCUCCAGACCCCCAGGAAAGAAGAAAAAGAAUGAAAUGGAGAUACUAGUAAAGGAUUCCAAUUUGAAGGUCUUCUUUUGGAGGAUGUUUUAUGAACCCAAAGUAUACUUUAUGUAGGACUUUUCAUAUCCUGGUUAUUUGGUACUAAGAGAAGGGAAUGAACGAGAAUUACUUUAUCACAGAAAGAGGUCCUGAAAGACCAAGAAUGAAGAGCUUCAACAGGGAGCAUUAGAGGUGGAGAAGUAGAAAUGUGCUACAGAAUGACCUAACAAGAACCAGAACAGCAGACAUAAAUCUCUUUUCCAUCUGCGUCCAUAGAGGACUUUCACUUACUUUGCUCUUUUUUAAACC